GAAAUAAAAUUAUGUAUUUAUAACAAAACAGCAGGUUAUUCUGUCUAAAGAAAAAAACACAUAUCUAAUUAGGAUUUAUGGUUUUUUUCUAAUUUUUCUACCUAAGAUCUAACCACUCUCUUAAAGGUCGCCAGCUGAUUCCUCACUUAAGGGUCAAACUCAGCGGCGAGGCUGCAACACUGAAACACCGGCAUCAUUAAGACUUUGGUCUGCACGGCAGGAGAAGGCACCGUGCUCCCCUCCCGCUGCUGCCCAGGCGGGAUCUUUCAGUGCCUGGUGAUUUACUCCUCCACCUUCCCCGAGAACGCAGCCUGCCCCCGACACCACCCGCCUCGGCCUCUGUGCCCCGGCCGCUCCGUGCGGGCGCAGGGAGCGGUGUCCGGACAGGCCCCACACGGCCCUGCCAUGGCCACAGCGCGGGGGAAGCGGGCACCGCCCGCUCCGCACGGGACCACACAGCCGGGGCAUGGAGGAACGGCCACCCCGGGCAGACUCACGGGGAGCCGCGGCUACCUGCGGAGCCGGCCUGACAACAGCCUGCCCAGCGCCCGGAAGAGAAGGGCCAGCCCGGUGACGCCGCGCUCCUCCCCCGGGCCGGGCCGGGGCGGGGAACGGCGGCGGAGCCCGGGGCGGGGAAAGGCGGGGAGACGACGGAGAAGGGGCGAGCUGUGCCCUGGAAGCGGAACCGCGGCUGCGGUGACUUCCUGCCUCGGAAGGAAGGAGCGGUGGUUGAAGUUGCACGUCGGGGUCUGCGCUGGCCCGAGGCACCAGCGGCAGCCGCCCGGGAGGAUGCGGCGGGCAGAGAUGAAGCCUGGGAAAUCAUCACAUCUAAAGGUAAAUGUUUUAUGAUAUGAUUAGUGUAUGAAAAUAAUACUGUUUAAUAUUAAAAAUAUAGACAAAGGCAAAACAACAGAUCCUGUGGCAGAUAUGAGUAAUUUCAGCUGCCAUUCAAAAUGAAUGAAAAAUUGUUCCUUUAAGUACUUUAAAUAUAAAGUAUUAUCCCUUUAAGUGUUUUAAAUAUAUUCUUAAAUUUUUGUGGGUUUUUUUCAGUUGAUAAUGGUGUUAACCAUUUAAAAGUAGUAUUAGG
This 1087-nucleotide long non-coding RNA is filed under the name Zonotrichia albicollis (white-throated sparrow). Its description in RNAcentral is "lncRNA (ENSZALG00000017283.1)". The record is from RNAcentral. Lineage: Eukaryota; Metazoa; Chordata; Aves; Passeriformes; Passerellidae.